Long non-coding RNA from Mytilus californianus (California mussel), 642 nucleotides. RefSeq lists it as uncharacterized. The record is from RefSeq and is a predicted model, not a curated record. Lineage: Eukaryota; Metazoa; Mollusca; Bivalvia; Mytilida; Mytilidae. The transcript is spliced from 3 exons.
GUUAAUAAGAGAUAUGUUAGGCAAACAGUCUACUAGAAUACGCGAACACCAGGUCGGAAAAGCAUGAAAAUAUUCCGCGUGACCUUCUCAUUAUUUGUUCUUUUUGUUUGGACUUUAUGUGAAAUAGUCGUUAUAAAAAAACAAAAAGACAAAAUAUUUAGCGGACAUGUGCUGUUUGAGGUAUCUAUGCCGAUGUGGUCAAUAUGUGCCCAGUUUUGCUCUAGAGUAAAAAUGUGCAAAUCUAUUAACUUUAUUGCAUGGAACAAAACUUGCCAGAUAAACGAUGCUGAACCCGGGGGAUGUUAUGAUGAACUUCUUGAGAGUGUUGGAAAUAGCUUUGCCGCUGCAUCUACUUUUCCAGAGGAACUAGCUGGUCCAUGUAAAGGUCAUGACUGUAAGCUUAAUGAAGUGUGCAUGCAAAAGGGUACGGCUUACAAGUGCUUCCCAUUGUUUGCAGAUAUGCAUUCGCCUGAAAAUAAUUUCCAAAAGAUAUUUGUUGCAUGCUCUGGAAAUCAACAGUCAGUAUUGGACACUUGGAAAGAUCCGUGUUUGGGAUUGGACAUUGGCUUAGGAAACAUUGAAAACUCGUGUACCAAUCGACACCUCAGAAGUACUAUGAUUGACAAAUGGAAUGGAUCAAUU